AGUGAACGCUGGCGGCGUGCCUAAUACAUGCAAGUCGAACGGGGUGGCGCGCGGGUGAGUAAUAUAUAGCUAACUUGCCCAUUACUAAGGGACAACAGUUGGUAACGACUGCUAAUACCUUCUAGUAAUGGAUAGGGCUAUAUCGUAUCAGCUAGUUGGUAAGGUAACGGCUGACCAAGGCUAUGACGCGUAACUGGUCUGAGAGGAUGAUCACUCACACUGUAACUGAGACACCGUCCAGACACCUACGGGAGGCAGCAGUAGGGAAUAUUGCUCAAUGGGGGUAACUCUGAAGCAGCAACGCCGCGUGGAGGAUGACAAUUUUCGGAGCGUAAACUCCUUUUCUUGGGAAAGCGGUACCCACAGAAUAAGCACCGGCUAACUCCGUGCCAGCAGCCGCGGUAAUAC
Molecule: ribosomal RNA, 408 nt
Filed under: uncultured bacterium
Lineage: Bacteria
Description: partial 16S ribosomal RNA
Rfam family: Bacterial small subunit ribosomal RNA
Source: RNAcentral